CGAUCUCCCUCCCCGUUCCACAGGCACCACGCAGCCAGUCGGCAGGGGAGGAAGAGAGGACCUGGGGCAACGCUCCGGCUCUCAUGAGGGUGAACUCUGGUUGAAGUACUUUUUAAUUUUAAGUUAUCUGUUCUAACUCUGUAUCUGCACACUAUGCUGGCGUGAUGCAUUAUGGGGCUGGUAAAUAUUUUUUUUCCAGGGCUGCUUUUAAUUCCCAGUCCGGCCCUGGUAGAGAAAAGUGGACAUAAAGUACAUCUCUGGUCAAUUUGACCAUUGCUUAAUAUAAUACCCUCUUAUCUAUUACUGCUCCUUCAGUAGCCUGAACUACUAAAUUGCUGUCUUCAUGUACGGGCUAUUCUGAUUUAAAAGUAUGCUUUGAUUUAUCUUUUUAUGUUGACAAACUGAAAUAGAACAUGUGCAACUUUGCUCAUUUCAUUUGUUUAGGAAUCUCUAAUUAUCCUAUCCUUCCUUUCUCCCACAGUAGAAAUGUAAAUAACUCAUCCACAUGACUGGUGUCACAGACAGUAUUACAUGGUCUUCACAUGAAUCACAUGUCUUAUUUAUUUUAAGAUUGCUUCUACUGAAUCUUUUCCUUGAUAACAUGGUAUUAAAAAGAAGUAAACAUAUUAUUUCAGUUGCAUUUGUCCAAAGUGAAUAUGCAUUUAAAAUUUGAUCUUUAAACCGCUCACAAUUGCGUCUGAAAUUAACUGACAACUAAACUUGGG
This is a non-coding RNA of Pelobates cultripes (western spadefoot toad), 725 nucleotides long. Lineage: Eukaryota; Metazoa; Chordata; Amphibia; Anura; Pelobatidae. The record is from the annotation of a GenBank genome assembly.